CUUAUUUUUAACAACUCCACGUGCAAUUCUCUUAUAAACAAAUGGUUAUCCAAACGCAAAUUCCUUGACCAAAUCUUUUUGGUCGGUUUGUUUAUUACAAAAAAAGAAAUAGACAAGAUCAAGGGAAUUAGAUAGUACGUGGCAUAAUCCCCCGUUGGUCCUUUGAAUGUUCUUACUUAGCUCUGGAGUGACAAUUCAAAUCCUUUGCAUAAGUCACCUCACUAACAUCUCUGGUCACAUGAACGAACUCUUAUUUACAAAGCAGGGUCUCUCUCAUCAUUUUUUUUUAAAUGACAAUGCAUAUGUGGUCUCUGUUCGGUCGAUUACAUUUGACCAAGUGAGUGUUCAUCUUUGUAAUCAUGUUGGCAUUCAAUCCCGAGUCUCUUCCAUCAUCAUAA
Molecule: long non-coding RNA, 398 nt
Organism: Arabidopsis thaliana (thale cress)
Lineage: Eukaryota; Viridiplantae; Streptophyta; Magnoliopsida; Brassicales; Brassicaceae
Product: other RNA
Exons: 1
Source: RefSeq